GACGAAGAACGUAGCGAAAUGCGAUAAGUAAUGUGAAUUGCAGAAUUCAGUGAAUCAUCGAAUCUUUGAACGCACAUUGCGCCCGUCAGUAUUCUGGCGGGCAUGCCUGUUCGAGCGUCAUUACGCCCCUCAAGUCCCCUGUGGACUUGGUGUUGGGGAUCGGCGAGGCUGGUUUUCCAGCACAGCCGUCCCUUAAAUUAAUUGGCGGUCUCGCCGUGGCCCUCCUCUGCGCAGUAGUAAAACACUCGCAACAGGAGCCCGGCGCGGUCCACUGCCGUAAAACCCCCCAACUUUUUAUAGUUGACCUCGAAUCAGGUAGGACUACCCGCUGAACUUAAGCAUAUCAAUAGCGGAGGA
RNAcentral lists this unclassified non-coding RNA (357 nucleotides) under soil metagenome. Its description in RNAcentral is "partial contains 5.8S ribosomal RNA, internal transcribed spacer 2, and large subunit ribosomal RNA". The stretch from base 1 to 120 matches the Rfam family "5.8S ribosomal RNA", at positions 35 to 154 of the family's 154-position model. The record is from RNAcentral.